GACGUAGGAGGCGAGCGUUGUCCGGAUUCAUUGGGCGUAAAGAGCGCGCAGGCGGCUUGGUAAGUCGGAUGUGGAAACCCGAGGCUCAACCUCGGGCGUGCAUCCGAUACUGCUCGGCUAGAGGUAGGUAGGGGAGAUCGGAAUUCCUGGUGUAGCGGUGAAAUGCGCAGAUAUCAGGAGGAACACCGGUGGCGAAGGCGGAUCUCUGGGCCUUACCUGACGCUCAGGCGCGAAAGCUAGGGGAGCGAACUGG
RNAcentral lists this ribosomal RNA (253 nucleotides) under uncultured bacterium. Its description in RNAcentral is "partial 16S ribosomal RNA". It matches the Rfam family "Bacterial small subunit ribosomal RNA", at positions 524 to 776 of the family's 1533-position model. The record is from RNAcentral.